GGCAAGAUGCCGAGCAAGCACGCUUCUGUCUUUAUCACCGGGCUCCGGUGGGGUCCGUGCCCGCGGGGUCUUUAACAACCUUGUCGGCUUUGUGUCGGGCGUCUUUGAGAUCGAGUUCAGGUUCUUAGCGUUUCAAAACCCCGUCCGUUUCAAGCUACAGGCGACACUCCUGUGACUGUUCUCUCCUUUCUCCUCGCUUCAACGGCAGGAUCUUCCCUUUGGGAAAGAGGAAAAGCAGCUUGUCAGAACUACAUUCCCAUAAUGCUGUCUGGGGGGCGUGAGCAGCGGCCCUCAGUCGGACAUCUGGCUGGCGCGAGACGGGAAUGAAAGUGGGGAACCCGGGGCUGAAGGAGAGUAAAUCCCGGACACGCGGAGACGCUGGAGCGACGGCCGUCCCCGCUGGUCUGGCGGCCCGCCGGGCCCUGUGAACGCCCUGCUGUGUGUCCCCCCUCUGCAGUGGUCAUCCCUGUGCUUCUCGGCCUGUGCGCGCUGGCCCUGCUGACCGGAGCGGCGCUGUUCUGGUGCAGGAGGAAGAGGGGACCGGGCACAGGCUCCUGGGACAAGGGCGUGUCGCUGCAGAGAGCCUCGCCGUCGGCACCGGGGACCGAGACGAAUCAGUCCGCAGCAGGGCAGGGGGAGGGAGAGGUCCACUACGCCUCCCUGGGACACCAGGGCAAGAGGGACCCGCGGCCCCGAGCCCAGGACGCGGACUCCAGCGUGGUCUACUCCUCCGUGGCCCGGGGCGUCUGAGCGCUUGGGAAUGUCCCAGGAGGCACCCUGCGACAGGACAGCACAGGACAGGAGCGGCCGAUCAGACCUGCCAGAGAGCACAAGGGACACUAGGUGAACGUGCAAUCGAACCCAAGAGCAGGAGGCUCUUCUGUACACAGAGGGGGGUGGGGGUGGGGAACAAGCCGCCCAGCCCUGUGGUUGAAGCCGAUACCCCGGCUUCUCUCCAGACACAGCUGGGUGAGCUCCUCCAGUCAGGACAGGGGGCUCUACUGUACACAGAGAGUGGCGGGGGUGUGGAACAAAGCCGAUACCCUGGCUUCUCUCCAGACGCAGCUGGGUGAGCUCCUCCAGUCAGGACAGGGGGCUCUUCUGUACACAGAGGGGUGCGGGGGUGUGGAACAGGCUGCCCAGCCGUGAGUUGACGGCUCCGAUCAGUUAACUCCUCACCUGGCCCCUUGGCUUCCAUUCGCUUGUCUCGGAGCUCCCUGACCUCUUCCUUCACAAGUCCCGGGCUCGUCCCACGCUGCUCAGUUCGGCCGCCCUGCCUGCCCGCCCCCCUGGGUCCAGUCCGCCGCACGCCGGCGCCCCCCUGUGGCUGCUCCCCAGCGGUACAGGGCCAAAGAUUAUUAUUAUUAUUACAUUAUUAUAAGGACUGUCCCGCUGGUCUGUAGUCAAACGGCAGAAGUCUCCCAGGAGACGUGACCUGUAAGGAUAUUGCUCUUGGUGUUGUAAGUGGGAAUAAAAACACUUGUAUGAUGCUCACUGUGAUUCCCCUGCUGGCCAAGUUUUUUUUCCGCACCUAAAAACGUGGAGAGAUCGAAACCUUUUAGGUUUUAAAGAGUCAUGUAAUUUGUACCCCGAUUCCUCACACAAAAUCUAAAACUAGCCGUGGAAAAGUGGUUGACACGAAUCUUGUUGUGUUUAUGCAAGACGUUAUUAAUGUUCCAGUUGCCUC
This 1687-nucleotide long non-coding RNA is filed under the name Lepisosteus oculatus (spotted gar). Its description in RNAcentral is "lncRNA (ENSLOCG00000021617.1)". Lineage: Eukaryota; Metazoa; Chordata; Actinopteri; Semionotiformes; Lepisosteidae. The record is from RNAcentral.